RNAcentral lists this ribosomal RNA (512 nucleotides) under uncultured bacterium. RNAcentral describes it as "partial 16S ribosomal RNA". It matches the Rfam family "Bacterial small subunit ribosomal RNA", at positions 28 to 506 of the family's 1533-position model. The record is from RNAcentral.
GACGAACGCUGGCGGCGUGCUUAACACAUGCAAGUCGAACGAAAAGAGGGAAAGAGCUUGCUCUUUCCGGAAUUGAGUGGCAAACGGGUGAGUAACACGUAAACAACCUGCCUUCAGGAUGGGGACAACAGACGGAAACGACUGCUAAUACCGAAUAAGUUCCAAGAGCCGCAUGGCCCAUGGAAGAAAAGGUGGCCUCUACCUGUAAGCUAUCGCCUGAAGAGGGGUUUGCGUCUGAUUAGCUGGUUGGAGGGGUAACGGCCCACCAAGGCGACGAUCAGUAGCCGGGCGGGGGGGAUGAACGGCCACACUGGAACGGAGACACGGCCCAGACCCCUAGGGGAGGCAGCAGUGGGGAAUCUUCCGCAAUGGGGGAAAGCCGGACGGAGCAACGCCGGGUGGGUGAUGACGGCCUUCGGUUUGAAAAACUCUGUGACCCGGGAGAAAAAGGCAGGGGGCGAAAAAAAAACUGCAUGGAGGGUACCGGAAAAGAAAGCCACGGCUAACCACGU